This is a long non-coding RNA of Fundulus heteroclitus (mummichog), 435 nucleotides long. RefSeq lists it as uncharacterized. Lineage: Eukaryota; Metazoa; Chordata; Actinopteri; Cyprinodontiformes; Fundulidae. The record is from RefSeq and is a predicted model, not a curated record. The transcript is spliced from 7 exons.
AGGUGUUCUAAAGUAUAAAGUGGGGACUGUGGCUUUUGGACUUUUAUGUCUACUGCUGAGCGGUCUCAUCGUUUAUCUUGCUUUUUUUUCAGAGCAUAACUCCACAACUGAGGAGAGAGAUGGGCAGAAGAAUUUUAGCUGUGUUAAUGAGACCAGUCUGAAAAAUGCGAUAGAGGAGAACGUAGAGCUGAAGAGGGACCUGAAUAACAUUACUUCACAGCUCAAUUCCGUCACUGUACAAAGAGAAGAAUGGAAGGAGAUCAAAUUUGGUUAUGAUGCCAGUCUGAAAAGUCUGACUGCAGAGAGAGGUGAGCUGAUUAGAACCAUCAGCAUUGUUGAGGCCAAUAAUACAAAUCUGACUGAAGACAGAGAUGAGCUGAGAAAUGACAUCCAGAACUAUACUUUACAGAUUAAAUCCCUGACCGAAGAAAGAGA